RNAcentral lists this ribosomal RNA (310 nucleotides) under Clostridioides difficile. RNAcentral describes it as "partial 23S ribosomal RNA". It matches the Rfam family "Bacterial large subunit ribosomal RNA", at positions 2612 to 2925 of the family's 2925-position model. Lineage: Bacteria; Bacillati; Bacillota; Clostridia; Peptostreptococcales; Peptostreptococcaceae. The record is from RNAcentral.
CAGAACGUCGUGAGACAGUUCGGUCCCUAUCCGUCGCAGGCGUAGGAAAUUUGAGAAGACCUGUCCUUAGUACGAGAGGACCGGGAUGGACGUACCUCUGGUGUACCAGUUGUUCUGCCAAGGGCAUGGCUGGGUAGCUAUGUACGGAAUGGAUAAGCGCUGAAAGCAUCUAAGCGCGAAGCCAACUUCAAGAUAAGAUUUCCCACCGCAAGGGUAAGACCCCAGAAAGACUAUCUGGUUGAUAGGUCGAAGGUGUAAGUGCAGCAAUGUAUUUAGCUUAUCGAUACUAAUAGGUCGAGGACUUGACCAA